UUUUUUUAAAUCCAAUUUUUAAUCAUAAUUUUGUAAGAUGAUGUGAUGUAUAAUUUGUAUGAAACAUACGACAUAUGAACGAAACAAAAAGCGAUGGCCUGAACUUUGUUUCUUCUAAUAAAAAACUUGCAAGUUGUAAAUGCAGCUUUUCUACAAUAAAGAAAUACACCCUUUAUUGGUACGCCAUUAGUAGAUCUAGAUCUAGUUUCUUUGACACAAAUGGACAAAAUUUGUUGACCGAACGACAGUCUAGCGCGCAUACCGCACGAUCAGUCAGCUUUCCAGAUUCCAGAGUAUAUAGAUCUAGUCCAGAGAUAUCAUAAUUGACCAAAACUGCAAUUCAACUUAUAAAGUUAAUGUAUCACAUAAACUGACAUAGGCCUAUAUAAAAUCUUAAAACAUCGACAUUAUGCAAACAUUCCAGUGAAGUAUAUUACAAAUGGACGACACUCUGCCAAUUUGGUGAAUAAUAUAUUUAAUAAUGCGACUUAGUGACUAGAAUCAGAGGCGGCCUUAGGUGGUGGAUAGUGAGGCAAAACGCCCCCCCCCCCCC
Non-coding RNA from Biomphalaria pfeifferi, 553 nucleotides. The record is from the annotation of a GenBank genome assembly. NCBI's taxonomy places the organism in Eukaryota, Metazoa, Mollusca, Gastropoda, Planorbidae.